UACAGAGGGUGCUAGCGUUGUUCGGAAUUAUUGGGCGUAAAGGGCGCGUAGGCGGUGCGGUAAGUCACCUGUGAAAUCUCCUGGCUCAACUGGGAGCUUGCAGGCGAAACUGCCGUGCUGGAGUGUGGGAGAGGUGAGUGGAAUUCCUGGUGUAGCGGUGAAAUGCGUUGAUAUCAGGAAGAACACCAGUGGCGAAAGGCGGCUCACUGGCCCGGUACUGACGCUGAGGCGCGAAAGCGUGGGGAGCAAACAGG
This 254-nucleotide ribosomal RNA is filed under the name uncultured bacterium. Its description in RNAcentral is "partial 16S ribosomal RNA". It matches the Rfam family "Bacterial small subunit ribosomal RNA", at positions 524 to 776 of the family's 1533-position model. The record is from RNAcentral.